RNAcentral lists this ribosomal RNA (563 nucleotides) under uncultured bacterium. Its description in RNAcentral is "bacterial SSU rRNA". It matches the Rfam family "Bacterial small subunit ribosomal RNA", at positions 13 to 573 of the family's 1533-position model. The record is from RNAcentral.
UUGAUCCUGGCUCAGAUUGAACGCUGGCGGCAUGCCUUACACAUGCAAGUCGAACGGUACCAGGUCUUCGGACGCUGACGAGUGGCGAACGGGUGAGUAAUACAUCGGAACGUGCCCAGUCGUGGGGGAUAACUACUCGAAAGAGUAGCUAAUACCGCAUACGAUCUGAGGAUGAAAGCGGGGGACCUUCGGGCCUCGCGCGAUUGGAGCGGCCGAUGGCAGAUUAGGUAGUUGGUGGGAUAAAAGCUUACCAAGCCGACGAUCUGUAGCUGGUCUGAGAGGACGACCAGCCACACUGGGACUGAGACACGGCCCAGACUCCUACGGGAGGCAGCAGUGGGGAAUUUUGGACAAUGGGCGAAAGCCUGAUCCAGCAAUGCCGCGUGCAGGACGAAGGCCUUCGGGUUGUAAACUGCUUUUGUACGGAACGAAAAAGCUUCUCCUAAUACGAGAGGCCCAUGACGGUACCGUAAGAAUAAGCACCGGCUAACUACGUGCCAGCAGCCGCGGUAAUACGUAGGGUGCGAGCGUUAAUCGGAAUUACUGGGCGUAAAGCGUGCGCA